AAUCAACGCUGGCGGCGUGCCUCAGACAUGCAAGUCGAACGCGAAAUUUCCCUUCGGGGAGAAAGUAGAGUGGCGCACGGGUGAGUAACACGUAGGUAAUUUGCCUUUGGGUGGGGAAUAACUCAGGGAAACUUGAGCUAAUACCGCAUAAUGCAGCGGCUCGACAUCGAGACAGUUGUUAAAGCGGGGGAUCGCAAGACCUCGCGCCUGAAGAGAAGCCUGCGGCAGAUUAGCUAGUUGGUAAGGUAAUGGCUUACCAAGGCGACGAUCUGUAACCGGCCUGAGAGGGCGGUCGGUCACACUGACACUGACAUACGGGUCAGACUCCUACGGGAGGCAGCAGUCGGGAAUUUUGGGCAAUGGGCGCAAGCCUGACCCAGCAACGCCGCGUGAAGGAUGAAAUCUUUC
This 408-nucleotide ribosomal RNA is filed under the name uncultured bacterium. Its description in RNAcentral is "bacterial SSU rRNA". It matches the Rfam family "Bacterial small subunit ribosomal RNA", at positions 32 to 419 of the family's 1533-position model. The record is from RNAcentral.